UACAUAGAGUGCAAGCGUUAUUCGGAUUCACUGGGCGUAAAGGGUUCGCAGGCGGCCAAGCGUGUCAGGCGUGAAAGCCUGGGGCUUAACUCCAGAAUUGCACCUCAAACUACAUGGCUAGAGCAUUGGAGAGGGUAGCAGAAUUCACGGUGUAGCAGUGAAAUGCGUAGAUAUCGGGAGGAAUACCAGAGGCGAAGGCGGCUACCUGGACAAUUGCUGACGCUCAGGCACGAAAGCGUGGGGAGCAAAAGGG
RNAcentral lists this ribosomal RNA (253 nucleotides) under uncultured bacterium. RNAcentral's name for it is "partial 16S ribosomal RNA". It matches the Rfam family "Bacterial small subunit ribosomal RNA", at positions 524 to 776 of the family's 1533-position model. The record is from RNAcentral.